AACGAACGCUGGCGGCAGGCCUAACACAUGCAAGUCGAACGCCCUAGCAAUAGGGAGUGGCAGACGGGUGAGUAACACGUGGGAACCUUCCCUAUAGUACGGAAUAUACCAGGGAAACUUGGAGCAAUACCGUAUACGCCCGAGAGGGAAGGAUUUAUCGCUAUAGGAUGGGCCCGCGUAGGAUUAGCUAGUUGGUGAGGUAAUGGCUCACCAAGGCGACGAUCCUUAGCUGGUUUGAGAGAACGACCAGCCACACUGGGACUGAGACACGGCCCAGACUCCUACGGGAGGCAGCAGUGGGGAAUAUUGGACAAUGGGCGGCAAGCCUGAUCCAGCCAUGCCGCGUGAGUGAUGAAGGCCUUAGGGUUGUAAAGCUCUUUUUGCCGGGACGAUAAUGACGGUACCCGGAGAAUAAGUCCCGGCUAACUUCGUGCCAGCCGCCGCCGUAAC
RNAcentral lists this ribosomal RNA (450 nucleotides) under uncultured bacterium. RNAcentral's name for it is "bacterial SSU rRNA". It matches the Rfam family "Bacterial small subunit ribosomal RNA", at positions 29 to 524 of the family's 1533-position model. The record is from RNAcentral.